AGAGUUUGAUCAUGGCUCAGGAUGAACGCUGGCGGCGUGCCUAACACAUGCAAGUCGAGCGAUUCUCUUCGGAGAAGAGCGGCGGACGGGUGAGUAACGCGUGGGUAACCUGCCUCAUACACAUGGAUAACAUACCGAAAGGUAUGCUAAUACAGGAUAAUAUAAGAGAUUCACAUGGAUUUCUUAUCAAAGCUCCGGCGGUAUGAGAUGGACCCGCGUCUGAUUAGCUAGUUGGUAAGGUAACGGCUUACCAAGGCGACGAUCAGUAGCCGACCUGAGAGGGUGAUCGGCCACAUUGGAACUGAGACACGGUCCAAACUCCUACGGGAGGCAGCAGUGGGGAAUAUUGCACAAUGGGCGAAAGCCUGAUGCAGCAACGCCGCGUGAGUGAUGAAGGCCUUCGGGUCGUAAAACUCUGUCCUCAAGGAAGAUAAUGACGGUACUUGAGGAGGAAGCCCCGGCUAACUACGUGCCAGCCGCAGC
RNAcentral lists this ribosomal RNA (483 nucleotides) under uncultured bacterium. RNAcentral describes it as "bacterial SSU rRNA". It matches the Rfam family "Bacterial small subunit ribosomal RNA", at positions 8 to 518 of the family's 1533-position model. The record is from RNAcentral.